UUAAGCGUGAAGUCGGUGGUUCAAGUCCACUCAGGCCCA
Molecule: transfer RNA, 39 nt
Filed under: Aeribacillus pallidus
Lineage: Bacteria; Bacillati; Bacillota; Bacilli; Caryophanales; Bacillaceae
Description: partial tRNA-Ile
Source: RNAcentral